AUGCUAUACUAGACAACGUUGCUAGAGCAACCCUUGGUGCUUAUUUCCCUUUCACCAAGCAUAUUAGACGCGGCAUGACCGCUAAAGGAGAAUU
This 94-nucleotide non-coding RNA is filed under the name uncultured Streptococcus sp. RNAcentral describes it as "preQ1-II (pre queuosine) riboswitch". It matches the Rfam family "PreQ1-II (pre queuosine) riboswitch aptamer". Rfam says of the family: Q is a hyper modified nucleoside present in some anticodons in tRNAs (Try, Asn, Asp and His). Lineage: Bacteria; Bacillati; Bacillota; Bacilli; Lactobacillales; Streptococcaceae. The record is from RNAcentral.